This 497-nucleotide ribosomal RNA is filed under the name uncultured bacterium. RNAcentral describes it as "partial 16S ribosomal RNA". It matches the Rfam family "Bacterial small subunit ribosomal RNA", at positions 28 to 507 of the family's 1533-position model. The record is from RNAcentral.
GAUGAACGCUGGCGGCGUGCCUAAUACAUGCAAGUCGAGCGAACAGACGAGGAGCUUGCUCCUCUGACGUUAGCGGCGGACGGGUGAGUAACACGUGGAUAACCUACCUAUAAGACUGGGAUAACUUCGGGAAACCGGAGCUAAUACCGGAUAAUAUAUUGAACCGCAUGGUUCAAUAGUGAAAGACGGUUUUGCUGUCACUUAUAGAUGGAUCCGCGCCGCAUUAGCUAGUUGGUAAGGUAACGGCUUACCAAGGCAACGAUGCGUAGCCGACCUGAGAGGGUGAUCGACCACACUGGAACGGGGCCACGGCCCAGACUCCUACGGGAGGAAGCAGUAGGGAAUCUUCCGCAAUGGGCGAAAGCCUGACGGAGCAACGCAGCGUGAGUGAUGAAGGUCUUCGCAUCGUAAACCUCUGUUAUUAGGGAAGAACAAAUGUGUAAGUAACUAUGCACGUCUUGACGGUACCUAAUCAGAAAGCCACGGCUAACUACGUG